Molecule: long non-coding RNA, 950 nt
Organism: Eriocheir sinensis (Chinese mitten crab)
Lineage: Eukaryota; Metazoa; Arthropoda; Malacostraca; Decapoda; Varunidae
Exons: 4
Source: RefSeq, a predicted model, not a curated record
UGGUGUUGGUGGCUGUCAGGGUGGUGGUGUUGGUGGCUGUCAGGGUGGUGGUGUUGGUGGCUGUCAGGGUGGUGGUGUUGGUGGCUGUCAGGGCGGUGGUGUUGGUGGCUGUCAGGGUGGUGGUGUUGGUGGCUGUCAGGGUGGUGGUGUUGGUGGCUGUCAGGGUGGUGGUGUUGGUGGCUGUCAGGGUGGUGGUGUUGGUGGCUGUCAGGGUGGUGGUGUUGGUGGCUGUCAGGGUGGUGGUGUUGGUGGCUGUCAGGGUGGUGGUGUUGGUGGCUGUCAGGGUGGUGGUGUUGGUGGCUGUCAGGGUGGUGGUGUUGGUGGCUGUCAGGGUGGUGGUGUUGGUGGCUGUCAGGGUGGUGGUGUUGGUGGCUGUCAGGGUGGUGGUGUUGGUGGCUGUCAGGGUGGUGGUGUUGGUGGCUGUCAGGGCGGUGGUGUUGGUGGCUGUCAGGGUGGUGGUGUUGGUGGCUGUCAGGGUGGUGGUGUUGGUGGCUGUCAGGGUGGUGGUGUUGGUGGCUGUCAGGGUGGUGGUGUUGGUGGCUGUCAGGGCGGUGGUGUUGGUGGCUGUCAGGGCGGUGGUGUCGUCAACAUUCAUCAUGCUGUCUCCACCCUGAACAACCUGACCUUGUCCAAACAUUGUGACACUAAACAGAGCAGCAAUUGCACCAUAUAUUACAUACACCUCAGUAUACCUGCAUAUUAGUGCCUUACAAACCAUCACCAAACAAGUUAUGCAAAGACAAAGUAUGCAUGUAUGCUAUUGCAUAACAUUUGUGUCAGUAGAAGAAUUCAAUUAAAUGAGCCUUUAGUAAAAGAUUGAAAACAUGGAAAAUGAUGCCUACAGGGGAAAUGAAGACACAGGAACCAACCAACAACACUGUCUAUGAAAAGACAUUGUCAAUCAGACCCCUUCGUCGAGCCUGCCCUGUGUCUUCAUUUCCCCUGUAGGC